Molecule: ribosomal RNA, 435 nt
Filed under: uncultured bacterium
Lineage: Bacteria
Description: bacterial SSU rRNA
Rfam family: Bacterial small subunit ribosomal RNA
Source: RNAcentral
AACGCGAAGAACCUUACCAAGGCUUGACAUCCCUCUGAUGGGUAUAGAGAUAUACCGUCUCUUCGGAGCAGAGGUGACAGGUGGUGCAUGGUUGUCGUCAGCUCGUGUCGUGAGAUGUUGGGUUAAGUCCCGCAACGAGCGCAACCCCUAUUGUUAGUAGCCAUCAGGUAAAGCUGGGCACACUAGCGAGACUGCCGUGGAUAACACGGAGGAAGGUGGGGACGACGUCAAAUCAUCAUGCCCCUUAUGUCUUGGGCUACACACGUGCUACAAUGGCAGGUACAAAGAGAAGCGAAGGCGUGAGUUGGAGCAAAUCUCAAAAAAGCUGUCACAGUUCGGAUUGUACUCUGCAACUCGACUACAUGAAGCUGGAAUCGCUAGUAAUCGCGAAUCAGAAUGUCGCGGUGAAUACGUUCCCGGGUCUUGUACACACCG